AGAACGAACGCUGGCGGCAUGCCUAAUACAUGCAAGUCGAACGAACUCUUCGGAGUUAGUGGCGCACGGGUGCGUAACGCGUGGGAAUCUGCCCUUGGGUUCGGAAUAACAGUUGGAAACGACUGCUAAUACCGGAUGAUAUCGAAAGAUCAAAGAUUUAUCGCCCAGGGAUGAGCCCGCGUAGGAUUAGCUAGUUGGUGAGGUAAUGGCUCACCAAGGCGACGAUCCGUAACUGGUCUGAGAGGAUGAUCAGUCACACUGGAACUGAGACACGGUCCAGACUCCUACGGGAGGCGAGCGAGUGGGGAAUA
Molecule: ribosomal RNA, 311 nt
Filed under: uncultured soil bacterium
Lineage: Bacteria
Description: bacterial SSU rRNA
Rfam family: Bacterial small subunit ribosomal RNA
Source: RNAcentral